RNAcentral lists this ribosomal RNA (638 nucleotides) under uncultured bacterium. Its description in RNAcentral is "bacterial SSU rRNA". It matches the Rfam family "Bacterial small subunit ribosomal RNA", at positions 60 to 702 of the family's 1533-position model. The record is from RNAcentral.
AGUCGAGUGCGCGCCUGUAGCAAUACAGGUGGCGCACGGCGCACGGGUGCGUAACACGUGGGUAAUCUGCCCUCUGAUGGGGAAUAACUCGCCGAAAGGCGAGCUAAUUCCGCAUAAUAUUCCGGGAACUUCGGUUUCUGGACUGAAAGGCGUAAGUCGUCGGAGGAGGAGCCCGCGCACGAUUAGCUAGUUGGUAGGGUAAUGGCCUACCAAGGCUUUGAUCGUUAGCUGGUCUGAGAGGAUGGCCAGCCACACUGGAACUGAGACACGGUCCAGACUCCUACGGGAGGCAGCAGUGGGGAAUCUUGCACAAUGGGCGAAAGCCUGAUGCAGCGACGCCGCGUGGGGGAUGAAGCUUUUCGGAGUGUAAACCCCUUUCGAUCCGGACGAAUGCCCGCAAGGGAUUGACGGUACGGAUAUAAGAAGCCCCGGCUAACUACGUGCCAGCAGCCGCGGUAAUACGUAGGGGGCCAGCGUUGUUCGGAAUUACUGGGUGUAAAGGGUUCGUAGGCGGUGCGGCAAGUUGGGAGUGAAAUCUCUGGGCUCAACCCAGAGACGGCUUCCAAAACUGCCGUGCUUGAGUGUGAGAGAGGCUCGUGGAAUUGCAGGUGUAGCGGUGAAAUGCGUAGAUAUCUGCA